Molecule: ribosomal RNA, 468 nt
Filed under: uncultured bacterium
Lineage: Bacteria
Description: partial 16S ribosomal RNA
Rfam family: Bacterial small subunit ribosomal RNA
Source: RNAcentral
GACGAACGCUGGCGGCGUGCUUAACACAUGCCAGUCGAACGGAAAGGCCCUGCUUUUGUGGGGUGCUCGAGUGGCGAACGGGUGAGUAACACGUGAGUAACCUGCCCUUGACUUUGGGAUAACUUCAGGAAACUGGGGCUAAUACCGGAUAGGAGCUCCUGCUGCAUGGUGGGGGUUGGAAAGUUUCGGCGGUUGGGGAUGGACUCGCGGCUUAUCAGCUUGUUGGUGGGGUAGUGGCUUACCAAGGCUUUGACGGGUAGCCGGCCUGAGAGGGUGACCGGCCAAAUUGGGACUGAGAUACGGCCCAGACGCCUACGGGAGGCAGCAGUGGGGAAUAUUGCACAAUGGGCGGAAGCCUGAUGCAGCAACGCCGCGUGCGGGAUGACGGCCUUCGGGUUGUAAACCGCUUUCGCCUGUGACGAAGCGUGAGUGACGGUAAUGGGUAAAGAAGCACCGGCUAACUACGUG